Molecule: long non-coding RNA, 1576 nt
Filed under: Monomorium pharaonis (pharaoh ant)
Lineage: Eukaryota; Metazoa; Arthropoda; Insecta; Hymenoptera; Formicidae
Description: uncharacterized LOC114255384
Source: RNAcentral
UCCUCUUCUUCCCCGGCGAGAGAAGGUUACAUCUUCCCGUGUCUCGUUUUCGCGCGCCUGUAUCUCAUUACAUCGCGCGCGCACAUCGUCACGUCACUCGCUCUCUCACGUACGUGUAAAGUUUGUUUGGUGCGCAGAAGUUACAUCGUCCCUGCGCGGGGUAAGGGGUGAAAUAUAGAGAAAGAGAGAGACGAACGCAAGGAAGAGAAAGAGAAGGAGCUAGAAGAGAAAUUCAGGUAACAAACGCACCGAGAUGGCACGCCGAUAAACAAGGUGGUCUCUUCGUCCACGGAGAGAAAGAGACGUCGUCGGCAAACGUCACUUGCGAUUUAUCGCGUUUUCCCGUUACCGAUAAUACCGAUAUCGAAACGCACUCCUCGUUCCCUCACGAUCGAGACUCCGCAACUCAAUUGACGCGUUGCGCCGCGGGCGCGCGUUCAUCAGUCACAGUUCUCACACUCGCACACACACAUACACACACCACAUAGAACGUGCACAUGCAGAACGUGGUGGAAGAGACACGCUUUGCACCGAUUACCUGCGAUCACCGGUUGUAAACACAAAAAUUUCGAGUGGAAUCCCCUUCUCGAGUUUGAGAAACGGGAAUCAAAAGUGAGGUAAAAUUUACGGAGGGUUAGAAAACGGGUUUCAGACGGUCUCGAGUAGGUGUAUCCACAUCAAGUCAAAGGAAAAAGAAGUCCCGAGAACGAGAUAAUUUUCAAAAGUUCAUUGACAUCCGCUAUACAAAAGAAUGGAGUCCCGAAUGUCAGCGUUUCUUUACAAUGGAUACGUCAAGAAGAUGUAUAAUUUGUGAAGAAAAAAAAAAGAAGAAAAGACUUCAGGAGUGAGCGAAGACGUAAGUAAACACGCGAGUAGGCGAGGUAUUGUAUUCGUCGUUCUCCGAAAUAUAUUCUAAAACUCAUAUCAGAGGGUAGCAAUGUAAUUUUUUUUUCUCUUCGGAAAGAUGAAAAUUUUCAUUUUUAUUGAACUUAGGGCCGGUUUCACCAUCUCCGAUUACUUCAACGAACCGGUUAUUCAAAUGAAAUUGACCAACCGUAUUUGUCGUUAAGCAAAAUUAAAAAAUGUGAUUGGUCAAUUCUGAUGAAAUAAUCGGUCCGGUUAAGAUAACCGGAGAUGGUGAAACCGGCCCUUAGAAGUUUUUUUAUUUUGUGUUACCGUCCUAGAGAAAAAGUUUCAUAAUCUCUACUCAGACUACGCAUUCAAGAUUGAAGAUUACAAAUUAAAUACUUAGUUUACACCGAGCACUUUGAUACGCAUACUAUAAAGUACUGUAUCCGUAUCAAAUCACUUGAUACGCACGGUAUAAAUGAUUAAACGAUUUGAUACGGACAUUACAGAAUCGUUCGAAUUCGAAUCGAAGCGAAUAAUGCGAAUUCGUUUUCAAAUCAAAACGAUUCGAAUUCGAAUAAUUCGACAAUUUUGAAUUGUAGUAGAUUAUUUUGAAUCGAAUGCGUCUUUCUUAAUUCAUGUUUUAGUUUUAAGCAAAUUUUAUUUACUUAAUAUUUUAUUUAAUAUAUAACAAUAUUAGUACAUUUUAUUCAAUAUUUGAAAUUUU